Molecule: long non-coding RNA, 1223 nt
Organism: Spinacia oleracea (spinach)
Lineage: Eukaryota; Viridiplantae; Streptophyta; Magnoliopsida; Caryophyllales; Amaranthaceae
Exons: 2
Source: RefSeq, a predicted model, not a curated record
UACACUGUUGAAUGACCUCCCUAACUCAACCCAAUUUUCUUCCAUCCGUUUCUCUCUCUUCCAUCCGUUUCUCUCUCCUCCUCCAAAUUCUCUCUAUUGCUUCUCUCUUCUGGGAACGCUAUUGGAAAAUUUUGCUCCCCUCUGUUCUCUCACAUCUUCAAUCGAAGCUUCAGAUCAAAAUUCAAUUCAUCAAUGGCGUUUUCGAAUAAUUUGAAAGUUUUAUCUCUCUCCUUCUACAUUUUCUCUUUCACAAACCUCAAAUUAGGGUAAAAUUAACGCAUGAAUGACCUCCUCAUUUCGCGAUUCACUCUCACAACCCUUUCUCUCUCUUCCUUCGAUUUUCUCUCACCUCUGCAAAUCCUCUAUGGCUUCUCUCAUCUUCGCCCAGAUCAUCACAACCUUUUGCAUAUCAACCUUUAAUCUUCUCCCUUCAUCAACAGUCUUGUUUGCGGACAUAGUUUCAAUUGAUCAGAAGCAACUUUUGUUCUAAUCAGCUAGGCAUCCAUGUUCUAGUCUCAUGGUUAUUGAGGUUUGUUAUGUAGAAUGUUUCAUUACUGUAACCAAAAGAUUGCAGUUGUAAAUGUCCUCAAACAAGCAAAAAUUUAGCAACAAAGCACAACAAAACAAACCAAAGACACAGUGGACCGAGGUCACUAUGGCACAACUGACUACUCACAAUAGCCAAACCUAUUGACCUAAACUCCGAGCUGGGAACUGCAGAAACAACAACCCCUACCUGAUUAACAACCCGCAACAAUAGCAGAUCAAUCACAUCAUCCUAAACCGACUGCAAACUUGCGCCUAACCCUGCAGUCAAACCCAGCCGAAAUCACAGCAACAUCAUCUAAGUCUACAUAACUCUCAGUUAACUGUAAGCAGGAGCUCCAGCAAGCCCUUGUAACAACACGCUAUAGAAGAAUCAACAAAACCACGAAGCUUGGAUAAUCUUGUAGCAAGAUGAAAGUCAACUACUGGAGCUUUUAUUUGAUUGCACAUAUACUUUUGAGAUUUUGAGAUUAGGUUCGAGUUUUCUAAUUUACCUUGAAGUUGAUAAUAUUUACUUUUGAGUUAAUAUUGUACAUGUAUUCCUUUCUUAAAAGGAAAUGGCCCAGAGUUUAUUUCUAAGCUCAUUUAUCUCUUUUGACCAUUAGAUUAUACAUAAUGCUUUUGAAAUUUUCUGAUUUACUUUUAAGUUAAUAUUAUUUACUUUUUGGGGUUUUCUA